RNAcentral lists this long non-coding RNA (381 nucleotides) under Vombatus ursinus (common wombat). Its description in RNAcentral is "lncRNA (ENSVURG00010004248.1)". The record is from RNAcentral. Lineage: Eukaryota; Metazoa; Chordata; Mammalia; Diprotodontia; Vombatidae.
AAUGAUUUGAAUUCACAUCCUCUGAUGCCAAAUUGAAUUCUCAUUCCAUUUUUGUCCAUCUGCCCCAUCUAGGCUUGAGACAAUCCGGGCUUGGACCAGAGUGGUGGCAAUGACAGUAGAGAAACAGAAACUCUGAUCCUACGAGAAGAGUGGGCAGGAUCCGGUGUCCCAUUGGACGUAAGCAAUGAAGGAGACACAAUCAAAGUUUUUAAAGUUGAGGACCUAGAAACAAAAGUCACUUCAGAAGAUGAAUUUAAAAAGAGUCUCUGGACCUGACCUAUGCAAUCACAGAAGAAACUCAUGCUGGAGGUAACCCAAGUUUAAAAUCAUCUGGGAGUUGGUCCACAAGAUUUCUCUGAGGGGAAGAUAACUACUUGUCCA